UGUAUUCCUCUUGCCAGCUAAACACAAGAGAUGUUUACUAAGAAUCUCCUGCAGGCUAGGAUUCAUAGCUUUGUAGUUUGGCAAAGUUAAGGAAUACCUAGUAUGUCAUGUUGUAAUUCAGAAUUUGUGUUUCAUUCUCAUGGUGAUAAGGGGUAUUGAACUGAAUUAAUGAAGACACACUUAGCCUUGUAGCUUAGAAAAGUUAUGGUAGUAGUUUGUAAAAUGACUU
RNAcentral lists this long non-coding RNA (229 nucleotides) under Bos taurus (domestic cattle). Its description in RNAcentral is "long non-coding RNA NONBTAT000052". The record is from RNAcentral. Lineage: Eukaryota; Metazoa; Chordata; Mammalia; Artiodactyla; Bovidae.